UACGGGGGGGGCAAGCGUUGUUCGGAAUUACUGGGCGUAAAGGGCUCGUAGGUGGCCAACUAAGUCAGACGUGAAAUCCCUCAGCUUAACUGGGGAACUGCGUCUGAUACUGGAUGGCUUGAGUUUGGGAGAGGGAUGCGGAAUUCCAGGUGUAGCGGUGAAAUGCGCAGAUAUCAGGAGGAACACCUAUUGCGAAGGCAGCUCGCUGGGACGUCACUGACGCUGAGACGCGAAAGCGUGGGGAGCAAACAGG
RNAcentral lists this ribosomal RNA (253 nucleotides) under uncultured bacterium. Its description in RNAcentral is "partial 16S ribosomal RNA". It matches the Rfam family "Bacterial small subunit ribosomal RNA", at positions 524 to 776 of the family's 1533-position model. The record is from RNAcentral.